CGUCUCAGUUCGGAUUGCAGGCUGCAACUCGCCUGUAUGAAGUCGGAAUUGCUAGUAAUCGUGGAUCAGCAUGCCACGGUGAAUACGUUCCCGGGCCUUGUACACACCGCCCGUCACACCAUGAGAGCCGGGAACACCCGAAGUCCGUAGUCUAACCUAUAUGGAGGACGCGGCCGAAGGUGGGUUUGGUAAUUGGGGUGAAGUCGUAACAAGGUAAC
Molecule: ribosomal RNA, 218 nt
Filed under: uncultured bacterium
Lineage: Bacteria
Description: partial 16S ribosomal RNA
Rfam family: Bacterial small subunit ribosomal RNA
Source: RNAcentral